RNAcentral lists this ribosomal RNA (498 nucleotides) under uncultured bacterium. Its description in RNAcentral is "partial 16S ribosomal RNA". It matches the Rfam family "Bacterial small subunit ribosomal RNA", at positions 28 to 508 of the family's 1533-position model. The record is from RNAcentral.
GAUGAACGCUGGCGGCGUGCCUAAUACAUGCAAGUCGAGCGAACGGACGAGAAGCUUGCUUUUCUGAUGUUAGCGGCGGACGGGUGAGUAACACGUGGAUAACCUACCUAUAAGACUGGGAUAACUUCGGGAAACCGGAGCUAAUACCGGAUAAUAUUUUGAACCGCAUGGUUCAAAAGUGAAAGACGGUCUUGCUGUCACUUAUAGAUGGAUCCGCGCUGCAUUAGCUAGUUGGUAAGGUAACGGCUUACCAAGGCAACGAUGCAUAGCCGACCUGAGAGGGUGAUCGGCCACACUGGAACUGAGACACGGUCCAGACUCCUACGGGAGGCAGCAGUAGGGAAUCUUCCGCAAGGGGCGAAAGCCUGACGGAGCAACGCCGCGUGAGUGAUGAAGGUCGUCGGAUCGUAAAACUCUGUUAUUAGGGAAGAACAUAUGUGUAAGUAACUGUGCACAUCUUGACGGUACCUAAUCAGAAAGCCACGGCUAACUACGUGC